Molecule: long non-coding RNA, 1962 nt
Organism: Cyanistes caeruleus (blue tit)
Lineage: Eukaryota; Metazoa; Chordata; Aves; Passeriformes; Paridae
Source: Ensembl
AGGGUGGCAGGUGGGUGGGAUUUGGGGAUUUGCAGAAUUAAUGAUAUCUGCAGUGAGGAAUCUGCCCCCUGCGGGAGCCGGCAGAGCAGGGAAAUCACCUGUGACCGCUUCCUCGGAUGUGCCCUCCUGUAAAUAACCUGCAGAUGAAAAUGUCAAGCCUGGAGCUUGUGACGCCGGGCUAAAGCAGGGGAUGAGCAGAGGGAAAUUUGUGUGUGGUGUGGGAGGGCGAGACACGGGGAGAGUGAUGGGGGAGACAGUCAGUGCGCGACGGAGAUGCAAACCCCCACAGGGAGGGCUGGAGCCGAAAUCUGCAGGGAACGGGCUGGGAGAGACCCCAGAAGAUGCUUGUGGGGCUCUGUGAGGAUGGGAGGGUGUGUGCUGGGCUCUGCACUGACUCUGCCUUAGCACUGAGGUCCCAGAAUGUCCGGCUGGCUCCCUCUUCCAAGGGUGAGCUUCAGGGAAGGGAUUUUCCCGGUUAAACACGGAGAUGUGUCCUUUCAUCCACAGAGAAACACACAGCGUGGAGAGAUGGCUGCUCCCCUUCCCUGGCCACCUCCAAAGAAAGAGUCUUGGCCCUUUGCUUCUCUGCUGAGUGUUAAUUAGAGGGCCAAUUAGUGUUCAAGGUCAACUGGAUUUGCUCGCUGCAGCAGCAAUUGGAGGGAGCCCAUCUCCUCAUUUGGGGAGGUGGGAGGCUGCUCCCUCUCCAUCAUCACCCUGGCAGCGUGCUGUGCACAUCUGGACUGCUGUGUGCACAUCUGUGCAGCCCCUACACGGCUGAUGGGAAGCAGCAGUGGACAGCAGGAUGUCGAGGAGAAGGCAGGUGUGAAACAGCCCAGGAACAGAGAACUCAGCAAGGGUCAGCAUCCUCAGCCUCAGUUUCCACUGCUGAAUCUUGCUCCAGCGGGAGGAUUUGGCCCUUCCUGGGCAGUCAGGACAUGCAAUAUCCUCUCCAGGAAUUGGUGUGUGCAGGGAUAACACUGGCAGCUCCAGUGCAGCAUGACUGGAUGUUGCACCAUCCCAGCUGACCUGAACAUUUGGAUUUUUUUGGGUGCAGGACAGGCAGCAGAGCCGGCUUUUCAUGGCUGCCUCAAGUGCAAAGGCACAGGAAAACACUUUCAUGUGGUUCUCCCCAGCCUCCAGUGUCCUGCCAGGUGGGCUGUGCCGCUGUGUCUGUGCCUGGAAAAGAUUUUGUAGCUGAGAUUUUGUCACCUCUCCUCAGCCCAUGUGUCCACAGCCCCCACCCUGGCCUUGCCAUCGGGAUUUCUGGGCACAAAACAAGGAGCAAGCGGAGCUGGAACACGCACAGCUGCUGAUGCCUGCACCCGGUGUGUGACACAAGUACCCUGCCCCAUCCCUGUAUUCCUCCCAUCCUGAAAUUCCCCGUGGCUGCAGGAACAUCCCUACAGCGUGCAGCCAGGACUGUGCACGUGCCCUGAGAGACACAGGCACGUCCACCACCUCCUCCACCAGCUCCUGCCUUCCCCACAGGCAAAGCUGGCUGUGUGAAAUCUGUGCUGGGGGCAUCCGCUUGAUACCAGCUCCAGUCCAAAGCCGAUGAGGAAUGCACAGACUGGCAGUGCUGGACUGCAUACUAAUGGUGUGAGAGCUCGCAGGGAGCAGGGAAGAGAAAGGGAAGGAGCCAGACUGCAGCUCCUGGCUACCCACGAUUGAUUUAUUACCAGGUUUGCUGAUGAAUGUGUGAGAAACGCUAUUGGUGAUAAAGCAGAAAGCCCGUAAUUAAAGUAACAGCUUUCAGUUUUUAAGCACUGCUUGGGUGUUUUCUUCUCUCUGGCAAAUUUUGUGGCUCGGUGCCACUCGGCAGCAUCCUCCUCCCACCAUCCCCAGCCUCAGCUGCCUUUGGCUCCAGCCUGGAGGCGCUGUGCCAGCCUGGCAGUUGGUGAGGGGCUGGGCACGCUGUGAUUUGGUCAGUGGCUGAUUUAGGGAGGGAAUAUGGCAUUUUUG